AACCCGAAACAAAAGUGACGUCGGCGACCACGACAGCACGACCUGCCACUUGGCUCCGAUCUCUACACCUGCUCACUUCAUUCUCCAUGAACGAUUUAGCAUUGUCUUACACAGCCACGAAUUGCCUUUAUCGGGACACUCUUGCCUCAUGCGGAUGUAAGCCACCUAACACCGAAUUCUGCAGAGCGCAUGUGUUCGUGGAAGCAGGUCCAUACUGAGUGCCCUAUUUCCAAUCUCAGUACAUUCUCAAGAAGCUAUGGAUCCGAAACCCAGUGUAUUUUCAUUAUGUAUAAUUAAGGAAUAAGGCUGCUUAUUCUUUUGAAAGUUCUACUUUCGUUUUGUGUAUCUGUAUGUGUAUUUUUAUUUUGAGUAAUAGAGUGAACAAACUGUUGAA
This 394-nucleotide long non-coding RNA is filed under the name Penaeus monodon (black tiger shrimp). RNAcentral describes it as "uncharacterized LOC119595339". The record is from RNAcentral. Lineage: Eukaryota; Metazoa; Arthropoda; Malacostraca; Decapoda; Penaeidae.